UACGGAGGGUGCGAGCGUUGUCCGGAAUCACUGGGCGUAAAGGGCGCGUAGGCGGCCUGAUAAGUAGGGGGUGAAAUCCCGGGGCUCAACCUCGGAAUUGCCUUUGAUACUGUCUGUCUUGAGUCCGGGAGAGGUGAGUGGAAUUCCUAGUGUAGAGGUGAAAUUCGUAGAUAUUAGGAAGAACACCAGUGGCGAAGGCGGCUCACUGGCCCGAUACUGACGCUGAGGCACGAAAGCGUGGGGAGCAAACAGG
Molecule: ribosomal RNA, 253 nt
Filed under: uncultured bacterium
Lineage: Bacteria
Description: partial 16S ribosomal RNA
Rfam family: Bacterial small subunit ribosomal RNA
Source: RNAcentral